Molecule: ribosomal RNA, 348 nt
Filed under: uncultured Latescibacterota bacterium
Lineage: Bacteria; Pseudomonadati; Candidatus Latescibacterota
Description: bacterial SSU rRNA
Rfam family: Bacterial small subunit ribosomal RNA
Source: RNAcentral
CACAGGUGCUGCAUGGCUGUCGUCAGCUCGUGUCGUGAGAUGUUGGGUUAAGUCCCGCAACGAGCGCAACCCUUAUCCCAGUUGCCAUCAGGUAAAGCUGGGAACUCUGGGAGACUGCCGGUGAUAAACCGGAGGAAGGCGGGGAUGACGUCAAGUCCUCAUGGCCCUUACAUCCCGGGCUACACACGUGCUACAAUGGCAGGUACAGAGGGCUGCGAAGCCGCGAGGUGGAGCGAAUCCCAGAAAACCUGUCUCAGUCCGGAUUGAAGUCUGCAACUCGACUUCAUGAAGGCGGAAUCGCUAGUAACCGCGAAUCAGCAGGUCGCGGUGAAUACGUUCCCGGGCCUU